CUCGUGUUUGAGAAGAGAGAGAGAGAGUUACAGAAGCGAAAGAGAUAGAGAGAGAUGGAGUUCGAGAUGGUAGAGUUGUGUCGGAGAAGACAUGGGAAGGGGCUCGAUUCCGUCGCACUCCGUUCGAUUCUGUCGUAGUCUUCACCACCACCACCAUGGUCACCUCUUUCUCUCUCUCUGUCUCUCUCUCUCUGUUUUGAUUAUGUUUUUCUUUGUGGGCAGAGCUGGUGGUCGUGAGCAGAGGAGACAAUACGGUGGUACCAAGGACUGGUAUGUCUCUGGUCAAGAUCUGCGUUGGCUUCACCUCCUCACCACCACCACAGAUUUGUUAAGGAGCAGGGAAGUAAAAUCAGUGGUGUGACAUAGCGGCGACUCCGGUCAAGCGUGAUGCAGCAGUGGUGCAAGCCGGUGGUGGGGUGGUGGUCGUGCGGUGGAGAUGCGGCGGGGACUGAAGAAGAUCGUCUGAUUGUAGUUUGGUGGGUGUAUUAGGUUUAGUUAGGGUUAAUUACUAAACCAAUUUGUAACUGUAAACCAAUGUAAUUGUAAACCAAUGUAAUU
Molecule: long non-coding RNA, 558 nt
Organism: Brassica oleracea var. oleracea
Lineage: Eukaryota; Viridiplantae; Streptophyta; Magnoliopsida; Brassicales; Brassicaceae
Exons: 2
Source: RefSeq, a predicted model, not a curated record